This 465-nucleotide ribosomal RNA is filed under the name uncultured Klebsiella sp. RNAcentral describes it as "bacterial SSU rRNA". It matches the Rfam family "Bacterial small subunit ribosomal RNA", at positions 338 to 795 of the family's 1533-position model. The record is from RNAcentral. Lineage: Bacteria; Pseudomonadati; Pseudomonadota; Gammaproteobacteria; Enterobacterales; Enterobacteriaceae.
CCUACGGGAGGCAGCAGUGGGGAAUAUUGCACAAUGGGCGCAAGCCUGAUGCAGCCAUGCCGCGUGUGUAAAGAAGGCCUUCGGGUCGUAAAGCACUUUCAGCGGGGAGGAAGGCGGUGAGGUUAAUAACCUCAUCGAUUGACGUUACCCGCAGAAGAAGCACCGGCUAACUCCGUGCCAGCAGCCGCGGUAAUACGGAGGGUGCAAGCGUUAAUCGGAAUUACUGGGCGUAAAGCGCACGCAGGCGGUCUGUCAAGUCGGAUGUGAAAUCCCCGGGCUCAACCUGGGAACUGCAUUCGAAACUGGCAGGCUAGAGUCUUGUAGAGGGGGGUAGAAUUCCAGGUGUAGCGGUGAAAUGCGUAGAGAUCUGGAGGAAUACCGGUGGCGAAGGCGGCCCCCUGGACAAAGACUGACGCUCAGGUGCGAAAGCGUGGGGAGCAAACAGGAUUAGAUACCCGGGUAGUC